AACGAACGCUGGCGGCGUGGAUUAGGCAUGCAAGUCGAACGCAAGCUUAGAUGAACAAUCCUUCGGGAAAGGGAAUCUUUGUGAGAGUGGCGGAAGGGUGAGUAACACGUAAAUAAUCUGCCCUUAAGUUGGGAAUAACGACUCGAAAGAGACGCUAAUUCCGAAUGUGGAUAUAGUAUGGCAUCUUAUUAUAUCUAAAGGUGGGGACCUUCGGGCCUGCCGCUUAAGGAGGAGUUUGCGGCCUAUUAGCUAGUUGGUGGGGUAAGAGCCUACCAAGGCAAUGAUGGGUAGCCGUCCUGAGAGGGUGGUCGGCCACACUGGGACUGAGACACUGCCCAGACUCCUACGGGAGGCUGCAGUCGAGAAUCUUUCGCAAUGGGCGAAAGCCUGACGAAGCGACGCCGCGUGAGCGAUGAAGAUCUUCGGAUUGUAAAGCUCUGUCACAUGGGACGAACCGUAUGUAUGUUAAUAGCGUAUGUAUCUGACGGUACCAUGAGAGGAAGCCCCGGCUAACUUCGUG
This 520-nucleotide ribosomal RNA is filed under the name uncultured organism. RNAcentral describes it as "bacterial SSU rRNA". It matches the Rfam family "Bacterial small subunit ribosomal RNA", at positions 29 to 507 of the family's 1533-position model. The record is from RNAcentral.